RNAcentral lists this long non-coding RNA (1842 nucleotides) under Marmota monax (woodchuck). Lineage: Eukaryota; Metazoa; Chordata; Mammalia; Rodentia; Sciuridae. The record is from RNAcentral.
AAUAUACUGUAAUAAAAUUUGUGUGAAUGUGGUCUUUCAAAAAUGUUUUAUACUCACCUUAUGAUGAUGUGAUAUGAUACAAUGUCAAAGGUAAUGAGAAUAAAUGAGGUGAAUGAUGUAGGUAUUGUGACAGCAUUAGGCUACUAUAUAAGCAUAAUGUGAACACAAUCAUGCAAUCCCACAAGAGUUACUAAGGGACUAACUUGGGAGAUGUAUACAAUGUGAAUAUGCUGGACAAGGAUAAUUCAUGUCGUAGGCUGGACGUAGCAGGAAUUAUAAGAUUUCAUCACGCCACUCAAAAUAAUGUACAAUCUAAAAUUUAUAAAUUGUUUAUCUCUGGAAAUUUCCACUCGACGUUCAGACUGGUUGAUUUCAGGUAACUAUAAUCACAGAAAGCAAAACCACAGAAAAGGGGGGAACUUCUAUACAUUAACACCCUAAAUACUUGGAGAAACAUAGUAGAGUUUACCCUGAAGAACAGAGAAAUCUAAUAUUCCUGAGAAGGGGAAAAUACAGUGUUCCUCAAUUUUAGCACAUCAUGGCAUACAAAGAAAAUUGUAAAAGAAAUUUUUUGUUAUAAUGCUGGCAAUGUUGACAUUGCUUGGGUAUAAAGCCAAAUACUGUAUGACACUUAAACCAAGAGAAGGUUGUAAAAGAUCUUGAAGGAAAAAAUGUAAAGAUUUAGUGACCGUGACUUUUAGGAAGGUAUAGUGGUAGAUAUCAAGGACAAGGGAGAUAGUAUCAAAGAAAAUACCCAGGUGAUUUAGACUGGUGGUCUGAAACAUAAAGUGGGAAAACCAUCUAUAGAGACAGGAAAAUCAAAAGGGUGGAUGUGAAUGGAUAGAGAAGAGAGUGAGCCAGAAAAGUUGUGAAAAGGACUGACAGUGGAAUCCAGGUGAAAUUUUCUGGUAGUAUAUUGGCAGUAAAGGAAGGGAUGGUGAAAGGAAUCAAUUUCAAACAUAUAUCUCCCAGUUAAUGUUCAGUGAAGACAGAGAAAUGAUAGCUGAUGGUAAAAGAGUGCAACUGGAUAAGAGGAAAAACUUCUAUGGCACAAUAGGAUAACUGUGGUUGGCAAGUUAAUUGUGUAUUUCAAAAAAUAGCUAGUAGGAUUUUGAAUGCUCCCAACACAAAGAAAUAAUAAUGUUUAAGGUUGUGGAUAUGCCAAUUACCUUAUCAGGUCAUUGUACAUUAUAUACAUAUUUUGAAAUAUCACACUGUACCCCAUAAAUAUGUAUAAAAACUGCCGAUUUGAAAGGGCUUAUAAAAGAUAUAUGCUGAGGAAUGUUCUGACAAAAAGUUAGAUGAUCUUGUUACCACAGAUGAGAAUAGCAAAGAAAAGAAUGACUACAAACAAAAGCAGAAUUGAAGCAUGAUUUCACUGUGGGCCCAGUGACUGCACACUGAACAAGACAACUCCUUGUGGUUACACCAUCUGAUAAGAUUCUGUUCAGAACAUUACCACAUGUGCAUUGUUAGUUCUGUGUGAUUCAUAUUAAUCUGAUGUUGAUCUUUAAUAUACUCCUCUGUUUACUAAAAGUGAUAAUAUUGCCAUAGAUUCUGUGACUCGAUCAGGUAUCAUCAGAACUUUUUGUUGUUACAUAAAUCUCUUAAUACUCCACAUGACUAGAGAAUGACAACUGAGAAAAGCUCAUUGGCUAAAUGCUGUAACUGUGAAAUUCUUCACAACUUCUUAGUAUUAUAAGGAAUCCAAAUACCUCCUUCAUUCUAAGGAGGAAAAAGAGGCCCCACAAAAAGACUGGAGGCUGAAUAUUCUCUCUUAUUUGUGGAUGCUAAUCUCAAACAGAGGAGGUUGGGGAGGGGAAUAAUAGAAAUAGAUUGGAC